Molecule: non-coding RNA, 72 nt
Organism: Tirmania nivea
Lineage: Eukaryota; Fungi; Ascomycota; Pezizomycetes; Pezizales; Pezizaceae
Source: the annotation of a GenBank genome assembly
GUCUCUGUAGCUCAGUGGUAGAGUGAGAGAUUGCAGAUCUCCAGGUCAGGCGUUCGAUCCGCCUCAGGGACU